GCCAGCAUAGCUCAGUUGGUAGAGCAGCUGAUUUGUAAUCAGCAGGUCGUCGGUUCGAUCCCGACUGCUGGCUCCA
RNAcentral lists this transfer RNA (76 nucleotides) under Lentisphaerota bacterium. RNAcentral's name for it is "Lentisphaerae bacterium (freshwater metagenome) tRNA-Thr". It matches the Rfam family "tRNA". From Rfam's summary of the family: Transfer RNA (tRNA) molecules are approximately 80 nucleotides in length. Their secondary structure includes four short double-helical elements and three loops (D, anti-codon, and T loops). Lineage: Bacteria; Pseudomonadati; Lentisphaerota. The record is from RNAcentral.